GCGUUGCUAGUGCAGUGGUUAGCAUACCACCUUCCCAAGGUGGUGACACGAGUUCGAAUCUCGUGCAGCGCA
RNAcentral lists this transfer RNA (72 nucleotides) under Fulvia fulva CBS 131901. RNAcentral describes it as "tRNA-Gly (CCC) (tRNA-Gly-CCC-1-1)". It matches the Rfam family "tRNA". From Rfam's summary of the family: Transfer RNA (tRNA) molecules are approximately 80 nucleotides in length. Their secondary structure includes four short double-helical elements and three loops (D, anti-codon, and T loops). Lineage: Eukaryota; Fungi; Ascomycota; Dothideomycetes; Mycosphaerellales; Mycosphaerellaceae. The record is from RNAcentral.